UGGGCCAUACUGAGCAAACAGGAAUUGCCUUGGGACGCAUAUCAAAUAUAUAAUAAAUUUAAGGCAUUUCAGUAACCAACCUUUUUUAAAUGCAUUUUUUAGUAAAGCGUAAAAACAGCAGAGAGCAACAGCAACAUAAAACUAGUGGGAUGUUUGACCAUUAAGGGCCCUAAGGAAACAGGGAAUUCAAGAAGGCAGGUUAGAACCCAAGUGAGAGCUUGAUUGUGCUGCAAUGUGGAUGCCAUCGGAAGAGGAAGAAAAUUCACAAUUGAUUAGAUUUGUCUGCUUUGGGCUUGAAUUAUUCAUUGCAGAAAUGUACCCAGUGUGGCUUUUUGUUUGUUUGUUUGUUUUGUUUUGUUUUGUUCUUUGCAUCCUUAUAACCCACUGUGGUUAAUUCUCCAGGACUAAUCCUUUAGGUAUUACCUGCCCAGCCAAACUGAGCACACGCAUCUGCUGCAUCUCCUACGGGAACUCGGGAAAUCCCUUCCCCUGCUCCGUGUCCUGCUUUCAGCUGGGACAAAGUUGGUUUCCUUUGUAGGGUCUGGUGCGAUGCUGUGCUUUGGCUUUAGGAGAAGACUAUCGAUAACACACUCAUGUUUUAGUUUUGCUGAGCAGUGCUGCACAGAGCCAAGGAGAUUUCAGUUUCUCAGCUCCUCGCCCUGUCCUGCCAGCGAGGGGCUGGGGGGCAAGGAGCUGGGAGGGGACAGAGCCGGGACAGCUGCCCUCAACUGACCAAAGAGGUCUUCCAUCGCAUACGGGAUCACAUGAGGAACUCUAAAACUGAGAAGCGUUGGCCGGGGCGGGCCGCAGCUUGGGGUCUGGCCUGCGUGUCAGUUGGCGGGUGCAUAGGAACACAGGCCAGCAUCAGCACGGACAGCAGCACAGCGGAGACCACAGCAAUCACUGGGAUGUGGUGUUUUCGCAGCUCUUCGCCAACAGCGGCCGUUGUGAUUUUCCCAACAUCCACCCCUGGAAGAACCGAGACAAUGCCGCAGGUUACUGUCAUCUGCGCUGCAGAUGAUCUCACAGUGUGCUUCAUGGACCCAAGAGGUUUCCUUUAUCAUCAGUGGGUACCUCCAUCUCUGGUGUAUAAGCACCAGAGGACAAGAAGGAUUGCUUCCACUUCUCGUUGGGUAGGGAGAGGCUGCACCGGCACUCUGGGCUCAGGGCUGGGGCUCUGCCCUGGGGUCUGGGCUUUGUCCGUCGGGAGCAGUGCAGAGCAGAAACCCUCACACUUUCCCCAGCACACAUGUCCUGAGCUCUCCGCCAGAACAUCCCCCAGGCUGAAGGUCAGCCUCCAGCCAGCACAAGGCACAGCUGGAGCCAGCCCAGCAGAGAAACACUCCUGCAGGCUCCUACCACACAGGGCCAUGCUCAUCGCCCUUGCGUUCCUUUAUAGCACGUGCUCUGUACUAGCCUGCUCACGUUUGGCUGCCGGCCUGCUGCGCAAGAGCAGGCAGGAAGGGCCUGGUGGCACACAGUGAUUCUGGUUGGUGACACCAGAUGACCAUGGGACUGAAAUUACCUGGCAAUCCAGCUGCUUGUUCUGCCUGUGUUUUUCUGUCAGAGACUGGCCGUGUGUCACUGCUGCUUUCCUGCAAUGGCUCCUUCUGCACAGUCUCUUGGUCAGUCCCUUUAGUCCCACCAUGCGCUGCUUUCUCCAUUUUCUUCACAGGUUCCUUUAGGACACGGGAUGACCACCAGUAGUACUUCCCUCUUCUAGGUGUAUCCUUUCCUCUAUUUCCUCUUUGCGGACCUUAACAGAAUGCAUGAAGUUCAGUCUCCCGUGCUUGAAGUUUUGAAGACCAGCAGUGCGUCAGUGGAAUCAGUGAAGACCAUCUACUCACCCAUGGGAUUCCAACUGGUCUCCAUCGCAGGAAGGAGCCGAGAAACCAGCAAGGCCCUCCCCGGGGGCACUUCUGCAACCAAAGACCCAUGAAAAGUUUCCGUGCACAACGGCAUCACUGAAUAGUGGAGCAUACCAGGGGAUCGUGCAAGGAAAGGGCAUACACGCACAGGACUACGCUCUCACACCUGCAGACAGACCUGGCCGACAUUUGGCCUUUGAGCUGGCAGCUCUCAAAGGAACUAAAAAGCCAUGACAUACCCAUGUGAUCUGCCGGAGUUUCAGUCCUGGAACUCAGAGGGGAAGCUGGAGCACCUUCAUUUCCAGUCACACCUGCAAUCAAACACAGGACAGAGAGACUUUACUUAGACGUUCUUCCAGUCGGAAUGACGGGAUGCAAUUAAGACAGGGGAUUCCUUCGUGACGCUGUUCUCUCCGUUCCACAAAGGAGCAGCUUGGAAACAGAUCCUGGCUGCCCACAGGGGCACUGCCACAGACGCAGCUGUCACCAAGGGCAGAUGAGAAACGUUCCCAUUGCACGUGGCCACCUCUCUCUUCCUUAGUAACCUGCAGUGACUACAACGGGCUCAGGUACGGACGCGCGACUCAGAUGCAGGACUAAAGAUCCAAAGUUGCAGAGGGGCCAGGCGACCUGCUGGCUGGCAUUCAGCAGCUUUCAAAAUACUUUCUCCAGGCCAUGUGAAAGAGCCCUCAGAGACCUCACGGAACAACAUUCGGCCCCUUGAGGUUUUCUUACCGGGAGACCUCUGAGACAAAGCCAGCACGAUGCUGGGAGCUGAAGAGCUGAAGCCUUGCUGAACUAUCACCACCAAGUAUGAACAAAUAUCAAGGAAAUGAAGACUGGGGACUUACCCCUGGAGUCCACCCCAGGCUCAGGGACAGGAUUCUGCUGUGCGGAUUGAGCAAGAGGGCCUGCAGGGACAAGUGUGAUCAGACACUGGUGAGCAGAGCUUCCUCUGCACGUUGGGGCCUACUUUUUCCUCAGUGACCUGCAGGGUGUGGUGGCAGGUCAGGGCCCAAAUACGAAGGGCUGAGUUCUCUCAGCUGGAGAGGGGCAGGGUUAACAUUCCCACUGAAAUGUGGCAGCUCUCCAAGUCACAAAAUACUCAUGACUGAUCUGCGCAAGACCUCCAAGGUACAAGCAGGUUAGGAGGACCUUGAGAGGAUCUGAAAUAAAACUGCGUGCUGCUGGGGCACAAAUUUUUCUGCCUUCAUGGGAACAGACACUCAGAACCUACCUCUGGGUUGACCCCGAGGCACAAAACCUGGAUUCAGACUAUCAUCUGAAUAGGGCGCACCAAUGUCAUCAUCUACAAUCAAGAAGAACUGAUUAGAGAAGUUCCCAUUACUGGGGAUGUUGUGAUAUUCUUCUCCCUUAGCAACUGGAGGUGGGUCAGGCAAGGGGGCGGGAGAAAGACGCAGGUCAUGAUUUGCACAGUAGCAGAGUGGCCAGGAGGACCUCUUGGCUGCCACCUGGCAGCUUACAUGAUACGUUCUCCAAGCCACGUGCAAAAACCCUUAUGGACCACACAGAAGAAGAUUCAGCCCUUUGGGACUUUCUUACUGGGGCACCUCUGGUGUACACAAAGGAAGGUCACACCAAAGCACUGGAGGAAAACACACCUGCCUCUUCCUCUGGGCUGUGGGUGGGGGCUCUGUGUUGGAAACCGGGAUUUGUCUACGGGGAGUACCACCAGGCUGGAGCAGAA
This 3576-nucleotide long non-coding RNA is filed under the name Gallus gallus (chicken). Lineage: Eukaryota; Metazoa; Chordata; Aves; Galliformes; Phasianidae. The record is from RNAcentral.